This 460-nucleotide ribosomal RNA is filed under the name uncultured bacterium. RNAcentral's name for it is "partial 16S ribosomal RNA". It matches the Rfam family "Bacterial small subunit ribosomal RNA", at positions 338 to 795 of the family's 1533-position model. The record is from RNAcentral.
CCUACGGGCGGCAGCAGUGAGGAAUAUUGGUCAAUGGCCGGAAGGCUGAACCAGCCAUGCCGCGUGAAGGUCAGUGCCCUAUGGGCGUUAAACUUCUUUUGUGCGGGAGCAAUAAUGGUCACGUGUGGCCAGACGAGAGUACCGUACGAAUAAGCAUCGGCUAACUCCGUGCCAGCAGCCGCGGUAAUACGGGGGAUGCAAGCGUUAUCCGGAUUUAUUGGGUUUAAAGGGUGCGUAGGCUGGGUGGUAAGUCAGCGGUGAAAUGCCCCCGCUCAACGGGGUGAAGUGCCAUUGAUACUGGCUGGCUGGAGUGCGGAUGCCGUGGGAGGAAUGUGUGGUGUAGCGGUGAAAUGCAUAGAUAUCACGCAGAACACCGAUUGCGAAGGCAUCUCACGAAUCCGCGAUUGACGCUGAUGCACGAAAGCGUGGGUAUCAAACAGGAUUAGAUACCCCUGUAGUC